Molecule: non-coding RNA, 29 nt
Filed under: Mus musculus (house mouse)
Lineage: Eukaryota; Metazoa; Chordata; Mammalia; Rodentia; Muridae
Source: RNAcentral
UAGGAGAGACAAGGUGGUUAUUGCCCAGG